AGCGAACGUUAGCGGCGGGCCUAACACAUGCAAGUCGAGCGAGAAAGGGACUUCGGUCCUGAGUACAGCGGCGGACGGGUGAGUAACACGUAGGUAAUCUGCCCUUCAGUCGGGGACAACGGUCCGAAAGGACCGCUAAUACCGGAUUCGUUCCUUGGGACUUCGGUUCUGGGGAGGAAAGCUGCCCGCAAGGGUGGCGCUGGAGGAGGAGCCUGCGUCGCAUCAGCUAGUUGGUGGGGUAAUGGCCUACCAAGGCUAAGACGCGUAGCUGGUCUGAGAGGAUGAUCAGCCACACUGGGACUGAGACACGGCCCAGACUCCUACGGGAGGCUG
This 333-nucleotide ribosomal RNA is filed under the name uncultured Pseudomonadota bacterium. Its description in RNAcentral is "bacterial SSU rRNA". It matches the Rfam family "Bacterial small subunit ribosomal RNA", at positions 29 to 351 of the family's 1533-position model. The record is from RNAcentral. Lineage: Bacteria; Pseudomonadati; Pseudomonadota.